Molecule: ribosomal RNA, 450 nt
Filed under: uncultured Glomeromycotina
Lineage: Eukaryota; Fungi; Glomeromycota
Description: SSU rRNA
Rfam family: Eukaryotic small subunit ribosomal RNA
Source: RNAcentral
AGCAGCCGCGGUAAUUCCAGCUCCAAUAGCGUAUAUUAAAGUUGUUGCAGUUAAAAAGCUCGUAGUUGAAUUUCGGGGUCUGUCCAUUGGUCGGGCUUUACGGUCCGUACUGGUGUGAUGGGUUCCUACCUUCUGAAUAACCAGCAUGCCAUUUAGUUGGUGCGUUGGGGAAGCAGAGCUAUUACCUUGAAAAAAUUAGAGUGCUUAAAGCAGGCUAGUGCUUGAAUAGAUUAGCAUGGAAUAAUAAAAUAGGACGGCAUGGUUCUAUUUUGUUGGUUUCUAGGAUCACCGUAAUGAUUAAUAGGGAUAGUUGGGGGCAUUAGUAUUCAAUUGUCAGAGGUGAAAUUCUUGGAUUUAUUGAAGACUAACUUCUGCGAAAGCAUUUGCCAAGGAUGUUUUCAUUAAUCAAGAACGAAAGUUAGGGGAUCGAAGACGAUCAGAUACCGUCGU